AUACGUAGGGUGCAAGCGUUGUCCGGAAUUAUUGGGCGUAAAGAGCUCGUAGGCGGUUUGUCGCGUCGACUGUGAAAACCCGAGGCUUAACCUCGGGCCUGCAGUCGAUACGGGCAGACUAGAGUUCGGUAGGGGAGACUGGAAUUCCUGGUGUAGCGGUGAAAUGCGCAGAUAUCAGGAGGAACACCGGUGGCGAAGGCGGGUCUCUGGGCCGAUACUGACGCUGAGGAGCGAAAGCGUGGGGAGCAAACAGGA
This 255-nucleotide ribosomal RNA is filed under the name uncultured prokaryote. RNAcentral describes it as "partial 16S ribosomal RNA". It matches the Rfam family "Bacterial small subunit ribosomal RNA", at positions 523 to 777 of the family's 1533-position model. The record is from RNAcentral.